GCCCUAGUGGCACAAUGGGUCAGUGCAUCUGGCUGCUAACCAGAAAGGUGGUGCUUCGAGUCCACCCAGGGACG
Non-coding RNA from Podarcis lilfordi (Lilford's wall lizard), 74 nucleotides. NCBI's taxonomy places the organism in Eukaryota, Metazoa, Chordata, Lepidosauria, Squamata, Lacertidae. The record is from the annotation of a GenBank genome assembly.